GGCCAGCUGUGUUGAUAUUGUAUCUCAGAUGCUAUUUCUAUAACUGUUUGCAGAUGCUUUGAGUCGACCUGCUCUUGGUGAGAUGAUGCUUAAGAAGCACACAAGAAAGCUCACACUAUAAAAAAUCCAACUCACAAAAAGUUAGACUAAUGAUUAUAUUUUAGUUAACUGGACAAUUAAAUGUAAAAAUGUUGGCUUAACUAGAGAAAAGACAUUGGUUCAACAAUCGUUGGACCAACCUAAUAUUACUCGCAUCCAACGUGUUUCUUAAAGUCAUCGUUUUAUACUGAGCUCAAAGUCAGUGAAAAUCUGCACAUUUUUUCCUUGUGCCCUUCGAUGCCUGGCUAGGCUUUCUCACGUGUUUCCAGACUAACUCGACGGAGUCGACAAGACUGCAAACGUCUCAUUUAAAAACGCAAACCAUCCUGGAAGGUCUCCCUAUUUUUCUCUGUGAAGAUUCCUCUGCACUUUUUAAAACAUGCCUGGUAAGUAUGUUUCAUUACUUCAACAGAUAUACACCAUCUUGCAAUACAUGACCAUGAGUGACUAAUGGGAAUGUGAAUUUUUGUGUUAAAGGGAUGGUUAGGAGUAAUUUCAACCUGCGGUCCUUUGCACCAUGACCUCGAGCCAAAACCCCCACAGAAGCUUUUUUGCCCUUGGUCGAACAUUAUUAAAAGUAGAGCAUAUUUAGAGGGGGGUGUUUGACUCACGGUCAUGGUGCAAAGGACUUUAGGCUGAAAUUACUCCGAACCACCCCUUUAACAGCGAACAGAUUGUUUUAAAGAUUCAUUUGUUUUUUUUUAUUAAAAGUAUAUUUUUUGCAAAUACACCAUGAUUUAAUGAUUGGGAAUGCAAUUUGUUACAUUUAAUAAGCCGGCCACAGUCACCAAUCACUUAUAUUUUGUGAUAGAUUUUGCAAUGAAACUGAAUUAUGACUGAAAAUAUACCAUCUUGUUUGUUAUAAUUGCUUUUUUGUGGUAUAGCUUAUUCAGGGCAGUACUAAAUUGAAAAGAGCCAAUUGUAUUUUGUGUAUUUACUAUAUAAAAUGAUAAACAUCUUGCAGAUUCUGCAAGUGGGAUGCAAACUUUAGAGCACAUUGUAUAGGAUUACUUAAUAGUUUAUUUUUUGUUGUUGUUGUUGUUUGUUGGUGUCAAGUGAUACUGAUUUAUUCUUUUUUAUUAUUAUUAGGACGAGACUCCAGAGGACAGACAGACCAGAGGGAUGAAGGUGGGAAUCCUUAUUGUAAUUGAAGAUGAUGCCACCCCCACCACACUACCCAGUGUCAUAAAAUUUGCUGUUGUGUUGGAGGAGGUGAUUGUACUGAAAGAUGCUCCAGACUUGCAGUCUGCACUUGCAUACCUGUUCGGCCUUCUGUUUGCCUUGGACUUUGAGUACCCAAAGCAACUAAAAUACACUUUCGAGGUUAUUGAGAAGGUGUUCAUGAAGAUGGGCACUCACUGUUCUCCUAGGGUACAGUCCCUCAAAACUAAGCUAUUACUGUGACGUUGCAUUUGUGGGGUGUUUGUAUCUUAAGCAGUUAAGAUGCAAGUGAAUAGUAUUGUUGUUUUUUUGUUUUUUUUGCAAUGUGCUUGCAUUUUGUUUGACUUGUUUUUGGUUCAACUGUAAACUUGAGGUUGUGAAAAA
Long non-coding RNA from Cyprinus carpio carpio, 1644 nucleotides. The record is from Ensembl. Lineage: Eukaryota; Metazoa; Chordata; Actinopteri; Cypriniformes; Cyprinidae.